GCCCUAGUAGCUUAGUUUUAAAGCAUCGGUCUUGAAUAAUCCGAAGAUCGGGGGUUAAAUCCCCCCCUAAGGCC
This 74-nucleotide transfer RNA is filed under the name Gymnocypris namensis. RNAcentral describes it as "tRNA-Thr". It matches the Rfam family "tRNA". Rfam says of the family: Transfer RNA (tRNA) molecules are approximately 80 nucleotides in length. Their secondary structure includes four short double-helical elements and three loops (D, anti-codon, and T loops). Further hydrogen bonds mediate the characteristic L-shaped molecular structure. tRNAs have two regions of fundamental functional importance: the anti-codon, which is responsible for specific mRNA codon recognition, and the 3' end, to which the tRNAs corresponding amino acid is attached (by aminoacyl-tRNA synthetases). tRNAs cope with the degeneracy of the genetic code in two manners: having more than one tRNA (with a specific anti-codon) for a particular amino acid; and 'wobble' base-pairing, i.e. permitting non-standard base-pairing at the 3rd anti-codon position. Lineage: Eukaryota; Metazoa; Chordata; Actinopteri; Cypriniformes; Cyprinidae. The record is from RNAcentral.